UACGAAGGGGGCUAGCGUUGUUCGGAAUUACUGGGCGUAAAGCGCGCGCAGGCGGUUUCUCAAGUCAGUGGUGAAAGCCCGGAGCUCAACUCCGGAACUGCCAUUGAAACUGUGAGACUUGAGGACGAGAGAGGGUGAGUGGAAUUCCCAGUGUAGAGGUGAAAUGCGCAGAUAUCGGGAGGAACACCAAUGGCGAAGGCAGCUCUCUGGUACGUGACUGACACUGAGACGCGAAAGCGUGGGGAGCGAACGAAGG
RNAcentral lists this ribosomal RNA (256 nucleotides) under uncultured bacterium. RNAcentral describes it as "partial 16S ribosomal RNA". It matches the Rfam family "Bacterial small subunit ribosomal RNA", at positions 524 to 778 of the family's 1533-position model. The record is from RNAcentral.